CAGUAGCCGCGGUAAUACGAGGGGGGCAAGCGUUGUUCGGAAUUAUUGGGCGUAAAGGGUGCGUAGGCGGCUUGACAAGUCUUGUGUGAAAUCUAUGGGCUCAACCCAUAGUCUGCACGGGAAACUGUCGGGCUUGAGAAUGGGAGAGGUGAGUGGAAUUUCCGGUGUAGCGGUGAAAUUCGUAGAUAUUCGGAAGAACACCAGUGGCGAAGGCGACACACUGGCUCAUUACUGACGCUGAGGCUCGAAAGCGUGGGGAGCAAACAGGAUUAGAUACCCCAGUAGUCCCUGUCUCUUAUAC
This 301-nucleotide ribosomal RNA is filed under the name uncultured bacterium. RNAcentral describes it as "partial 16S ribosomal RNA". It matches the Rfam family "Bacterial small subunit ribosomal RNA", at positions 509 to 807 of the family's 1533-position model. The record is from RNAcentral.